UUCAUGGUGUUGGGAGUAAGACUUGGAUAUCUGAUACUGUUAACAUAUUGGUUAGCAUCACACGUUUCCAUAGGGGUAGUAAUCCGAGCUGUUUUAAGUUGAAAGUAUUACUGUUGCUGGCUUGUAUGGUAAAAUCUUCAGACAAUAAUGCUGCGAACCAUCGGAUGAACUGUUGCUAUAUUUUUAGUAGAAUCCAUAGACAGUUGUAUUGUAAGCAGAAGAAUGAAUUGCUGACAAAUUUUGUUUUUAUUGCUGUGUAUUA
Long non-coding RNA from Mytilus californianus (California mussel), 262 nucleotides. RefSeq lists it as uncharacterized. The record is from RefSeq and is a predicted model, not a curated record. Lineage: Eukaryota; Metazoa; Mollusca; Bivalvia; Mytilida; Mytilidae. The transcript is spliced from 3 exons.